RNAcentral lists this long non-coding RNA (426 nucleotides) under Marmota monax (woodchuck). The record is from RNAcentral. Lineage: Eukaryota; Metazoa; Chordata; Mammalia; Rodentia; Sciuridae.
UUCAACCCANUUGACGUGGACCUCAAGGAGAGCAUGUCCUAUUGCAUGCGGGUUAGACGCGUCCACGCCCCGCCCCACGAAAAAAGGCGUCGGCUGAUAUGGCUUCAGAUCUGGGGAAGGCGCCUCCUUAGGACUAAGUCAUACUAUGCAGCCACUUCUGCACAGUGGGAUAGGACCUCUACUCUUGCCUGUAUUGUUUUAAGAAAACAGAAAGGGGGAACUGUGGUGAGCCGCUUCUGCCGUUUCUGCAGAUUAUGGUCGCCAUUACAAGAUGACGCUGGCUCUGCUGUGGUCUGUGACAAACAACUCCUUAUCUGGGAGAGUUGGCACAUGAUUUUUCACCACCCUGUGAGAAAGCUCCACGCGGCAGCUUUGCAUUGGGGCUUGGGAUGCUUUAUUAAGGCUGGGAGGGGCAUCAGAGAGAGA